AUGCCGUCGCGGAAAGGGGUUUUAAACCGUUUGUUUAGGACCGACGCACACCAUGAUGGAUGUAAUUGUAUAUUCAGGAGGAUGAUGGUUGGGAGAAAAAGAGGAAGCUGGACCUUACUGGGUUCAAGGACCCGUACGAUCCAGGGUAUAGUGACGACGAAGAGUAUGAGUAUGUCUCUGGAGAAGAUGUGGAUGUGGAGGACGGCAAGUUCGCGUCCUUCAAAGCGAAGGAAGAGGAGAAGAUCAGGGCCAAGGGAGAUGAUUACUACUACAAGCGCAAGACCAACAUUUGGCACUGCCCCUACUGCACCACCAAGCCAAAGCCAGUCCGGCCGCUUCAUUUAA
Molecule: ribosomal RNA, 345 nt
Filed under: Triticum aestivum (bread wheat)
Lineage: Eukaryota; Viridiplantae; Streptophyta; Magnoliopsida; Poales; Poaceae
Description: partial small subunit ribosomal RNA
Source: RNAcentral